GUUGUAGCUCAGUGGCAGAGCAUCCGUUUUGCAUGCUGAAGCUCCUGGGUUCAAUUGGCUGGUGUCUCCA
This is a non-coding RNA of Podarcis lilfordi (Lilford's wall lizard), 70 nucleotides long. NCBI's taxonomy places the organism in Eukaryota, Metazoa, Chordata, Lepidosauria, Squamata, Lacertidae. The record is from the annotation of a GenBank genome assembly.